This 1221-nucleotide long non-coding RNA is filed under the name Gallus gallus (chicken). Its description in RNAcentral is "lncRNA (ENSGALG00010012637.1)". Lineage: Eukaryota; Metazoa; Chordata; Aves; Galliformes; Phasianidae. The record is from RNAcentral.
CCCUCAUGCCCUCCUCCCCCUCUCCUCCUGGUGCAGACAGGGCUGUUCCUCUUCCUGUUGGCGGCUGCAAGCAGCGUUGUGCCCUCCCUUCCCCAGGCUGAAGCCGGCUGUCUGUCACAGGACAGCCGGCCUCCCCUCACACCGCGGCCCUUGGACAACGCCUGGCACCCGCAUCUGACAAGUGUCCAGAACAACUGCAUACCCCAGGGGGCUUUGUGUUCAGAGAGGAGAUAUAACUUCUGGUAACAUCACCUGAUGUCCCUUUUUUCCUUCAGCUCUCCUCCCUGCUGCUCGACCCAACUGCGUGUCUCACUUCAAAAUUAUGACUUGAGAUCUGGAUCCUGUUCCCAGCUUUGGUGUUGCAAUUUCCUGUUCCACCCAUUCCUUCCAAUAUGCAGGGCUAUUGGAAAAACACUUCAGACAGAAAUAUUUUAUCUUGCAUCUGGCUCAGCUGCACAAAGAUUCACAAGAGUAACAGGACUUUUGCAUAAUGAAAUGGAUGGGGAAAGCCAGGUGCCGGGAAGAAGGAUGAGAAGAUCUGAAGGUGAAUAUUCUGCUGGUGGUGACACUGAACUUAAAGCAAGGAGACUGGCUAAUGGAAAUGAUUAUGGAAGUGGAAGUGACAGCUGCUGAAGUGGAAGGGAAAACUGAAGAUUUAAAGUGCCGAAAAUAUUGUGCAGAAAGAUGGAGAAUUUCUGGGAGGAAUUUUGAAUCCUGGGCUGUGAUCUGAGCUGCUUUUGUUAAUGAAGAAAAUGUUUGCAGCACUGAAGAAGAGGUUCUGUUGUUUCACUCUUUCUCACACUCAUCUGUGUAUAAAAACCAAUGCAUUUUCCACAAAAUUUUCUUCAAAACAGAUGUAUUUGGGUCCCUUCAUUAAGUUAAUAUUUUCCUAAUUUCUCUCAUGUGCUGGAAAGGAAUACUUAGCUUUUAAUUAAAUUUUAAUUAAAAUUAAGAAUUACUGUUUUUCUAACAUUUAUUUCUUUAUGUUAUGAGAUCUGUAAAGAUGAGCUAGAAAGAAGCUGGCAUGCAGAGUAUUUAUCUAUUUGUUGAAGCUAUCUUGCCUUUUUGAGAAAAAACAGUAAAUGGUUGCUGAGAAGCAGGCCAUAUCUCUUCUCAGUAUAUCUUUUCAGUAUAAAUUAUAAGAGUUGACUGUCCAGAAGGCAGCACAAAUCUAUCUGAGAAGAUAAUGCAUGAAUACUAUGGAUCUUACAAAUUAAAUUG